Cryptomeria japonica (Japanese cedar) is the source of this 700-nucleotide long non-coding RNA. RefSeq lists it as uncharacterized. The record is from RefSeq and is a predicted model, not a curated record. NCBI's taxonomy places the organism in Eukaryota, Viridiplantae, Streptophyta, Pinopsida, Cupressales, Cupressaceae. The transcript is spliced from 4 exons.
AAGCAAUCCAAAUUAAUUAUUUUCAGACGCGGGAGUGGAAACCAGAAUUUCAGAGAUGAUGGGGGAAGACCGGGGUGAAGAUGGGGAAGCACUUCUCUGAGUCCAAAUGAAAUCCAAAUAGCUGUUUAGAGAAUGUAAUGGGGUACAAAAAUCUAGUCGUUUAGAGAAUGUAACGGGAAACAAGAAUUGAACGUUGUUAGAAGAGCUGAAAAAAAGCAGGAAAACGCAUAUCCAACGGAAGAGGUGGAACAGUGGAAGGAAAAAAGAAAAAGGCAGAGGUAGAGCAAAAGGAAGCCACAAAAUUCUUGUUUAAGGUAAGUAAGGAAGGAUGGAGGAGUUGUGCUACUUUGCCCUUCCUGCCUCCUCAGCAAUCAAGAGAGGAGGCACAGCAGAGGUUCAUAAUGUCAUAGGGACCUACCCAUUUUGGGUUGAAUGACAUGUUCUGCACAACUACAUUUAGGGUUGUCGAUUCAUUCAGGGUACUUCAGGUGAUAGAUGAUAUUAAAACUGAAGAGGCUGUUGCAAUCGUUAAAAUUGAUGUAAAUGUAAUUUGUAAAUUGAGGCAUUUUACUGGAUAAUCUAAAAUUGAAGAUGCAUUUUUGAAUCAAUUGUUGAAAUUGAUGACAUCAAUAAAUGUAAUAUGUAAAUUGAGACAAUGUUAAAUUGAUUUAUUAUUUAAUGUUAUUAUUUUUAUUUGGGA